Molecule: ribosomal RNA, 426 nt
Filed under: uncultured bacterium
Lineage: Bacteria
Description: bacterial SSU rRNA
Rfam family: Bacterial small subunit ribosomal RNA
Source: RNAcentral
GUGAGGAAUAUUGGACAAUGGGCGCAAGCCUGAUCCAGCCAUACCGCGUGGGUGAAGAAGGCCUUCGGGUUGUAAAGCCCUUUUGUUGGGAAAGAAAUCCUAUCGGUUAAUAACCGGUGGGGAUGACGGUACCCAAAGAAUAAGCACCGGCUAACUUCGUUCCAGCAGCCGCGGUAAUACGAAGGGUGCAAGCGUUACUCGGAAUUACUGGGCGUAAAGCGUGCGUAGGUGGUGGUUUAAGUCCGUUGUGAAAGCCCUGGGCUCAACCUGGGAAUUGCAGUGGAUACUGGAUCACUAGAGUGUGGUAGAGGGAUGCGGAAUUUCUGGUGUAGCAGUGAAAUGCGUAGAGAUCAGAAGGAACAUCCGUGGCGAAGGCGGCAUCCUGGGCCAACACUGACACUGAGGCGCGAAAGCGUGGGUAGCAAA